CAAACUGGGAUUAGAUACCCCACUAUGCUUAGCCCUAAACACAGAUAAUUACAUAAACAAAAUUAUUCGCCAGAGUACUACUAGCAACAGCUUAAAACUCAAAGGACUUGGCGGUGCUUUAUAUCCUUCUAGAGGAGCCUGUUCUAUAAUCGAUAAACCCCGAUAAACCUCACCAAUUCUUGCUAAUACAGUCUAUAUACCGCCAUCUUCAGCAAACCCUAAAAAGGAAAAAAAGUAAGCGUAAUUAUGAUACAUAAAAACGUUAGGUCAAGGUGUAACCUAUGAAAUGGGAAGAAAUGGGCUACAUUCUCUACACCAAGAGAAUCAAGCACGAAAGUUAUUAUGAAACCAAUAACCAAAGGAGGAUUUAGCAGUAAACUAAGAAUAGAGUGCUUAGUUGAAUUAGGCCAUGAAGCACGCACACACCGCCCGUCACCCUC
This 440-nucleotide ribosomal RNA is filed under the name Bos taurus (domestic cattle). RNAcentral's name for it is "partial 12S ribosomal RNA". It matches the Rfam family "Bacterial small subunit ribosomal RNA", at positions 768 to 1404 of the family's 1533-position model. The record is from RNAcentral. Lineage: Eukaryota; Metazoa; Chordata; Mammalia; Artiodactyla; Bovidae.